This 468-nucleotide ribosomal RNA is filed under the name uncultured bacterium. RNAcentral's name for it is "partial 16S ribosomal RNA". It matches the Rfam family "Bacterial small subunit ribosomal RNA", at positions 28 to 507 of the family's 1533-position model. The record is from RNAcentral.
GACGAACGCUGGCGGCGUGCUUAACACAUGCCAGUCGAACGGAAAGGCCCUGCUUUUGUGGGGUGCUCGAGUGGCGAACGGGUGAGUAACACGUGAGUAACCUGCCCUUGACUUUGGGAUAACUUCAGGAAACUGGGGCUAAUACCGGAUAGGAGCUCCUGCUGCAUGGUGGGGGUUGGAAAGUUUCGGCGGUUGGGGAUGGACUCGCGGCUUAUCAGCUUGUUGGUGGGGUAGUGGCUUACCAAGGCUUUGACGGGUAGCCGGCCUGAGAGGGUGACCGGCCACAUUGGGACUGAGAUACGGCCCAGACUCCUACGGGAGGCAGCAGUGGGGAAUAUAGCACAAUGGGCGGAAGCCUGAUGCAGCAACGCCGCGUGCGGGAUGACGGCCUUCGAGUUGUAAACCGCUUUCGCCUGUGACGAAGCGUGAGUGACGGUAAUGGGUAAAGAAGCACCGGCUAACUACGUG